CCUACGGGAGGCAGCAGUGGGGAAUAUUGGACAAUGGGGGGAACCCUGCUCCAGCGACGCCGCGUGAGUGAAGAAGUAUUUCGGUAUGUACAGCUCUAUCAGCAGGGAAGAAAGAAAUGACGGUACCUGACUAAGAAGACCCGGCUAACUACGUGCCAGCAGCCGCGGUAAUACGUAGGGGGCAAGCGUUAUCCGGAUUUACUGGGUGUAAAGGGAGCGUAGACGGGGAUGCAAGUCUGAAGUGAAAGGCGGGGGCCCAACCCCCGGACUGCUUUGGAAACUGUAUGGCUUGAGUGCAGGGGAGGUAAGUGGAAUUCCUGGUGUAGCGGUGAAAUGCGUAGAUAUUAGGAUGAACACCAGGUGCGAAGGCGGCUUACUGGACUGUAACUGACGUUGAGGCUCGAAAGCGUGGGGAGCAAACAGGAUUAGAUACCCCGGUAGUC
RNAcentral lists this ribosomal RNA (443 nucleotides) under uncultured bacterium. Its description in RNAcentral is "partial 16S ribosomal RNA". It matches the Rfam family "Bacterial small subunit ribosomal RNA", at positions 338 to 795 of the family's 1533-position model. The record is from RNAcentral.